GACGAACGUUGGCGGCGUGCCUAAUACAUGCAAGUCAACUGAAAUACCGGUAGCAAUACUGGUAUGGAGGUGGCGCACGGGUGAGUAACACGUAGGUAAUCUGCCUUCAGGUCUGACAUAACCCAUCGAAAGGUGAGCUAAUAUCAGAUGAUGCAGCGGCUUGACAUCAAGACAGUUGUUAAAGCUUCGGCGCCUGAAGAUGAGCCUGCGUCUGAUUAGCUAGUUGGCGGGGUAACGGCCCACCAAGGCUGCGAUCAGUAGCUGGUCUGAGAGGAUGAUCAGUCACACUGGAACUGAGACACGGUCCAGACUCCUACGGGAGGCAGCAGUAAGGAAUAUUGCUCAAUGGCCGAAAGGCUGAAGCAGCAACGCCGCGUGAGGGAUGAAGGGCUUUUUGCUUGUAAACCUCUGUAGCGAGAGACAAAACUCCC
RNAcentral lists this ribosomal RNA (431 nucleotides) under uncultured bacterium. RNAcentral's name for it is "bacterial SSU rRNA". It matches the Rfam family "Bacterial small subunit ribosomal RNA", at positions 28 to 455 of the family's 1533-position model. The record is from RNAcentral.